Molecule: ribosomal RNA, 483 nt
Filed under: uncultured bacterium
Lineage: Bacteria
Description: partial 16S ribosomal RNA
Rfam family: Bacterial small subunit ribosomal RNA
Source: RNAcentral
AUUGAACGCUGGCGGCAUGCUUUACACAUGCAAGUCGAACGGCAGCGCGGGCUUCGGCCUGGCGGCGAGUGGCGAACGGGUGAGUAAUGCAUCGGAACGUGCCCAGCAGUGGGGAUAGCCCGGCGAAAGCCGGAUUAAUACCGCAUACGACCUGAGGGUGAAAGCGGGGGACCGAAAGGCCUCGCGCUAUUGGCGCGGCCGAUGUCGGAUUAGCUAGUUGGUGGGGUAAAGGCUUACCAAGGCGACGAUCCGUAGCUGGUCUGAGAGGACGACCAGCCACACUGGGACUGAGACACGGCCCAGACUCCUACGGGAGGCAGCAGUGGGGAAUUUUGGACAAUGGGGGCAACCCUGAUCCAGCCAUGCCGCGUGCGGGAAGAAGGCCUUCGGGUUGUAAACCGCUUUUGUUCGGGAAGAAAUCCUCUGGGCUAAUACCCCGGGGGGAUGACGGUACCGGAAGAAUAAGCACCGGCUAACUACGUG